AAGUCGUAACAAGGUUUCCGUAGGUGAACCUGCGGAAGGAUCAUUCAACAAUUAAGUUGAUUUUGAUUGGCAUUACCUUUUUAAAAUCCCAGUACCCUACCUUGUAGUGCUGAAUGUGGUCGUCCAUCAAGUAGUUUACGCUACAGCGAGGGAUGGCUUUUAACUAAACUCUUAUUCUCAUAACGAAUCUGUCUGAUAACAUAUUUUCGAAUUUACUUAAUUCAAAUAAAUACAA
RNAcentral lists this unclassified non-coding RNA (235 nucleotides) under plant metagenome. Its description in RNAcentral is "partial contains small subunit ribosomal RNA and internal transcribed spacer 1". The stretch from base 1 to 46 matches the Rfam family "Eukaryotic small subunit ribosomal RNA", at positions 1786 to 1831 of the family's 1831-position model. The record is from RNAcentral.